UUGUUUAUAACCGCCGUCUUGCAGGGGGGAGAUAGGAGAGAAGACCUCGGGCUGGGCCAGCACUGAGUCACCUCCCCUUUUGUGAUCUGAGCAGCGUCAUUGCCGGUCCCGACUGUGCCGUGCACCUGACCACCAGCAGGUCCCAGAGGGCCACGGUGGUCCUGUCCCUCUUUGCCUACAGGGCAGGGGCUGGCCCAGGCAGGGCAGGUGGUCAGCUGCCAGCCCAGGCCUGGAGCAUGUGUAGCACCCUGCUGGAAUAUUUAUCUGUGACUCAUUCAUUCAUCCAGAACCUGCAGUGCAGUGUUCUAGGUGCUGAGGAGUCAGCCUUGAAGGAAUCGAGUGGAAUUCCUGUCUGUGGACCUUACACUCCUGGACUGGUCUGUGGCAUCGUUUCGUGAGCUGAGAAUGGAGCAAGGGAGCAGUCAGAUGUUGUUCAGCAAGGAUGCCCAGACCACGCAGUGAAGAAAGAAGAGUGCUUUCAACACAUGGCUCCAGGAAAACACUGCCUACUUGCAAAAGAAUGAAGUUUGACCCUUCCUUUAUACCAGUUACAAACAUUAAAGGAAAAACCACCGCCUGUAACACUGGCAUCCCGUAUGGGCACUGGUUCGAGUCCCUGCUGUUCCACUUCCAAUCCAGCUCCCUGCUAAUGCACCUGGGAAAGCAGCAGAGACUGGCCCAAGUGCCUGGGCCCCUGCCAACCAUGUCAGAGACACGGAUAGAGUUCCUGCUUUCUGGCUUUGGCCUGGCCUAGCCCCGGCUGUUGCAGCUAUUUAAAGAAUAAACCUGUAGAUAGCAGAUUUCUGUCCCUCUCCUUCUAUUAGCAUUUCAAAUAAAUCGUCAAAAAAAAGAGAGAACAUCCUGUCUUUCCUGUUCUGUAGAAGGGGACUUGCGCUGUCCCUGAAGGGCUGGAUUGUGGUGCCUCUUUGCUAGAGUUGUGUUUUUUUUUUUUUUUUUUAAUGAAUUUGAGUGGCAGAGUUAUAGACAGGAGGAGACAGAGAGAGAGGUCUUCCAUCCACUGGUUCACUUCCCAAAUGGCCAAAUGGCCAGAGCAGAGCCAACCUGGA
This is a long non-coding RNA of Oryctolagus cuniculus (rabbit), 1067 nucleotides long. RefSeq lists it as uncharacterized. Lineage: Eukaryota; Metazoa; Chordata; Mammalia; Lagomorpha; Leporidae. The record is from RefSeq and is a predicted model, not a curated record.